RNAcentral lists this unclassified non-coding RNA (334 nucleotides) under soil metagenome. RNAcentral describes it as "partial contains 5.8S ribosomal RNA, internal transcribed spacer 2, and large subunit ribosomal RNA". The stretch from base 1 to 120 matches the Rfam family "5.8S ribosomal RNA", at positions 35 to 154 of the family's 154-position model. The record is from RNAcentral.
GAUGAAGAACGUAGCGAAAUGCGAUAAGUAAUGUGAAUUGCAGAAUUCAGUGAAUCAUCGAAUCUUUGAACGCACAUUGCGCCCGCCAGUAUUCUGGCGGGCAUGCCUGUUCGAGCGUCAUUUCAACCAUCAAGCCCCAGGCUUGUGUUGGAGCCCUGCGGCUGCCGCAGCCUCCCAAAACCAGUGGCGGGCUCGCUAUCACACCGAGUGCAGUAGUUUACUCUUCGCUCAGGGCGUGCGGCGGGUGCUAGCCGUAAAACCCCCAACUUCUCAAGGUUGACCUCGGAUCAGGUAGGAAUACCCGCUGAACUUAAGCAUAUCAAUAAGCGGAGGA